Molecule: long non-coding RNA, 529 nt
Organism: Scylla paramamosain (green mud crab)
Lineage: Eukaryota; Metazoa; Arthropoda; Malacostraca; Decapoda; Portunidae
Exons: 3
Source: RefSeq, a predicted model, not a curated record
UUUGAGGAAGAUUAAUUUCCUUACAUGCGACCCGGCCCCUCCAAGGCCUCAGUAGCGAGCUGGGCGUGGAGGAGUGUGGGUGCCAUGCUUGCCCGUUACUUCACCAGUAUUCUCGUAGUAUUGGGCCCGCGUAGGAACGUGCGUGGUGUGAUGUACAAUACAUGAAAGAAGACUGCUGUGGUAUGGUCAUGUGUAAAAGGAGAAAGAGAAAUGUAGAAACAGUAGGAAAAGAGAAAGAUGAAAUGGAGCAUAUACAGGAACUAAAAGAUGAUGUGAAAAAGGAGGAUUGAAGAAAGGUGUGAAUGAAGAUGACUUGCUACCAAAGCAAUUGUAUUACUGCGGCCACUGCACUUGGACCAUGUAACAGAACCUUCACCUGUAGGCCUUCCUGACCUGCAUUCUGAACAAGACUUGUAAGACUUGUGGAUCAGCUUGUUGCUGAUUAAUAAGAAAUUUGUUCGUAAGAGUUCGAGAGACUCUUUCCCUUGUGUUUUUUUUUUUUUUUUUUUAAUAAAAGUUUUACAUCAAU